Non-coding RNA from Camelina sativa (false flax), 1018 nucleotides. The record is from RefSeq and is a predicted model, not a curated record. NCBI's taxonomy places the organism in Eukaryota, Viridiplantae, Streptophyta, Magnoliopsida, Brassicales, Brassicaceae.
UAUUUUGCUUCGUCCGUCUUAACACGUGUUGGCGUGUAAUUUGUUGUUGUUUUAUGGGUAGGGUGACAUAUUUUGCUUCCUUCUCUUUCGCGAUUCUCUUGAAGCGGAGAGAAUUUUUUGUUUCAAUUGCAAAAUUCUCAUUUUUUUUUGCUCCCGUUGAUUAACCAAUCUCCAAUCGAAGCUUCUGAUUAAACAAUCUUAGUCGGUUACGUUGAUUAAGCAAUCAGAACAACAAAUCCGAGCUUCUGAUCAAUCGACGAGGUUUGUGGAUAUGAAACCGUUGAGAGUCUUCUCCACCAAAUCGAAGCUUUACCUUCACUGCUACUGGAGAAUUUGAUUAACCAAUCUCCAUCUUAUGGGUUCCAUCGGUUCUCUUGUCAUCGUUGGUGUGACUCCGUUUUUUUUUUUAAUUUUCACGUCUCACAGGUUGUUUGCAAGGGGGACUCAUCGCACACACUUAGUUUCGUGAUGCAAGUCUUUCUUAUAAUUCAUCCCACUGGAUUGUAAAUACCCCUGUUUGAGCUUUCCGGUCUCCACAUGGCAGGGCUACUAUAACAAUUUUUGUUUACAUUGUUUAGGUGCAUACAUACGGUGUCCAUUAGAUAGUCUGUCCCAUGAGUGCCAGAGCUUGUUGGAGCUCAUUGGAGCUCGUUGGAGCUCAUUGCCAUCUAUGCUCUGCCAUUGCCAUCUAUGCUCUGCCUCCUCACCACGAUAUUUACUCUAUAGAGGAUCUUGCUCAGUUGAUCUUUGAUCUACACCAGGUAAUAAACAAACAGAUUAAUCCAAAUGCAAAAGUAUCAGUCAAGCUGGUCGCAGAAGCUGGAAUUGGAACAGUUGCUUCUGGAGUUGCAAAGGGUAACGCUGAUAUCAUUCAGGUACCAACUUGAGAACAAAACAUUGCCUCUUGCUUCUUCCAUGUAUUAUUGUAUCAAGAAAUUUCAUUGUUCUUUUUGAUAUGAUUUUCAGAUACAGGGCAUGAUGAUUUUUGUAACUUUGUAAUUUUCUUAUGUUUUUAAUG